This is a long non-coding RNA of Triticum aestivum (bread wheat), 1841 nucleotides long. RefSeq lists it as uncharacterized. Lineage: Eukaryota; Viridiplantae; Streptophyta; Magnoliopsida; Poales; Poaceae. The record is from RefSeq and is a predicted model, not a curated record. The transcript has 2 exons.
UCUCCCGAUCUGGAUCAGGAGCUUGUCGGCGCCGCCCAACCUGCCUUCCCCAGCUAGCCGGCCACCCUCUCCUCCUUCUCACUGUCGCUUCAUCUCCUAGCCUCCCUCCCUACUCCCAACCUCCACCGGCCGCCACAUGAUUCACCCCCCUUGAUCCUCUCCACCUUCCACACUAGAGCCCGUGGGCCGCGGUACCCACUCUGUUGCCUCUAGGACCCUGGCCUCCUUCCUCCCAACACCGGAGCGCAACUACCUUCUUCCUCCUGGCGCAAGAGGUGCCGCGCGCGGCCGCGCUCCAUGUGUCCCCCGCAACUCUUCGAUCCCCCUGUCCCGACCCCAGAUCCGGCGAGGAUCCACCAGGCGGUGCCUCAGCCGUCACCGUCGGGAUGCUUUGGAUCGGGCGACAGGGGAGCCCCCGCGCGGCCAUGCACUGGAUCCCCUGUCUUCCUCGCUGGAUUCGGCCUUCGCCAGCAACACCUACGCUCAGGAGGUCCCACCACCGCAUCCCCGACCCGCCACUGUGACUCCGCGACACGACCCGCCACCGCGCUCCUCACCUCGACUUCCUCCCAUCCGUCAUGGAGCGAGGGACCCGACCCCUAGAUCCGUCAAGCUCAGCUCCCUCUUCCAGCCACGCGACCCCACACCUCCCAGCGUGGACGGGUCUGUGGCGCUCACCCACACAGGAUCCCUCCCCCUCCCUGGACUCCGGCAGUCCCGUUCCCAUGGCGCGCCAGCAGGUUGCUCUUCGUUGCAGGUUGGUUGGAUUGUUGGUGCAGUACCCAAAUCGCUAGUGUUUUCGCUAAUGCUCGCACACAUCACUGGAGGUUCACCGGAGCACCCCCUCGCAGCUCUGUCCUUCCCCAACAUGUAGUUCACUGGCGACGGCCUUCAGUUCAUUUUGGUUGCUGUUGAUGCCAUCGCCACAACAGUACAGACAGGUCAGAGUCGACCACCUCACCUCCUCUCCCUGACAGCGUCAAGUUUGGUUGUUGCAUGCAUUUGCAGUAUACCAGGCGUGGGCGUGCAGUGCGCAAGGCGACAGCCUGAAGUUUGGUUCUGGGACGCACUUGCAGUACACCAGGCGUGCCCGUGCAGUGUGCAAGCCGACGGCAUGCAGUGCGCAAGGUGCCAGCCUGAAGUUUGGUUGUGGCAUGCACUUGCAGUACACCAAGCGUGCACGUGCAGUGCGCAAGCCGACGACAUGAAAUUUGGUUGAGGCGUCCCUCUCCUUGUCGUCUACAUGGAUCCAGCGCCCCGUGGUCGUCUCUCAUUCCGUCAACAAGAGGGCCAGGGUCGUUGCUCACUGUUCACAUUUUUUUCCACGCUACCCCUUAUCACUUCUUGUGUUUGUUUGGCAAUUUCACCAACGUGUCUUGGGUUCACAUGUUCGUUGGUGCAGCUCGAAGCUCCCUCGCCCGAUGCCAGCAAAUAGGCUUCCUUGUGAAGUUCAAUAGCGCCACCAAUGGUUCAUGGAUAAACUAUUUGAUAUGCUUCAAAGAAGAGUAGAAGGAAAAAAAAUUGAACAAAGGUUUCUGCUGAAGCUUUUGCGUUGAGGAGUGAGAGGAGCUGUUAAAUAUUUAACUUUCUUUUUUCCUUUUGGCAAUUGGCCUAUUUUGUUCUGGAGUUGUCUUAAAUUUUUCGCUGUGAUUGAGAAAAAGGUUUUGGAGUUCACUAGCAAAAAUGAGCGACUGUGUGCUUGCAGUACGUCCAGAGAGUGUGUGCGGUUAGGCGGGGCAGGCACUGCAUCGUGUCAUUGCAUUUAAAAAAAUGUGGAGUGGGUUGUAUUUUGUGUGCGAUGAUUGUAACUUGGAGACCGAGAAAGGGAUGCAAUUUUUUUA